GAUGAACGCUGGCGGCGUGCCUAAUACAUGCAAGUCGAACGCUGGAAAUCUAGCUUGCUAGAUUGAAGGAGUGGCGAACGGGUGAGUAAUACAUAAGCAACCUACCCACGAAGACUGGGAUAAUCUCUGGAAACGGGGACUAAUACCGGAUAGGUAAUCGGAAGGCAUCUUCUGAUUAUUAAAGGUUAAAAACACUGGUGGAUGGGCUUAUGGCGCAUUAGUUAGUUGGUGAGGUAACGGCCCACCAAGACGAUGAUGCGUAGCCGGCCUGAGAGGGUGAACGGCCACAUGGGGACUGAGACACGGCCCAGACUCCUACGGGAGGCAGCAGUAGGGAAUUUUCGGCAAUGGGGGAAACCCUGACCGAGCAACGCCGCGUGAGUGAUGACGGCCUUCGGGUUGUAAAGCUCUGUUGUAAGGGAAGAACGGUAGAUAGAGAAUAUCUAAAUGACGGUACCUUACCAGAAAGCCACGGCUGACUACGUG
RNAcentral lists this ribosomal RNA (486 nucleotides) under uncultured bacterium. RNAcentral's name for it is "partial 16S ribosomal RNA". It matches the Rfam family "Bacterial small subunit ribosomal RNA", at positions 28 to 507 of the family's 1533-position model. The record is from RNAcentral.